RNAcentral lists this ribosomal RNA (497 nucleotides) under uncultured bacterium. RNAcentral's name for it is "partial 16S ribosomal RNA". It matches the Rfam family "Bacterial small subunit ribosomal RNA", at positions 28 to 507 of the family's 1533-position model. The record is from RNAcentral.
GAUGAACGCUGGCGGCGUGCCUAAUACAUGCAAGUCGAGCGAACGGGCGAGAAGCUUGCUUCUCUGAUGUUAGCGGCGGACGGGUGAGUAACACGUGGAUAACCUACCUAUAAGACUGGGAUAACUUCGGGAAACCGGAGCUAAUACCGGAUGAUAUUUUGAACCGCAUGGUUCAAAAGUGAAAGACGGUCUUGCUGUCACUUAUUGAUGGAUCCGCGCUGCAUUAGCUAGUUGGUAAGGUAACGGCUUACCAAGGCAACGAUGCAUAGCCGACCUGAGAGGGUGAUCGGCCACACUGGAACUGAGACACGGUCCAGACUCCUACGGGAGGCAGCAGUAGGGAAUCUUCCGCAAAGGGCGAAAGCCUGACGGAGCAACGCCGCGUGAGUGAUGAAGGUCUUCGGAUCGUAAAACUCUGUUAUUAGGGAAGAACAUAUGUGUAAGUAACUGUGCACAUCUUGACGGUACCUAAUCAGAAAGCCACGGCUAACUACGUG